Molecule: unclassified non-coding RNA, 239 nt
Filed under: Cladorrhinum foecundissimum
Lineage: Eukaryota; Fungi; Ascomycota; Sordariomycetes; Sordariales; Podosporaceae
Description: partial internal transcribed spacer region
Rfam family: Eukaryotic small subunit ribosomal RNA (bases 1-46)
Source: RNAcentral
AAGUCGUAACAAGGUCUCCGUUGGUGAACCAGCGGAGGGAUCAUUACAGAGUUGCAAAACUCCCCUAAACCAUCGCGAACCCAACCCCUAAACAGUUGCUUCGGCGGCGCCCCGAAGGCCCUCAGCGGCCGGAGUGGCCCGCCGGGGACCCCCCAAACUCUUGUUUUCAACAGAAUGGCCUCUCUGAGUACUGUACUUUUAAUAAGUCAAAACUUUCAACAACGGAUCUCUUGGUUCUG